This 135-nucleotide non-coding RNA is filed under the name human gut metagenome. RNAcentral describes it as "FMN riboswitch (RFN element)". It matches the Rfam family "FMN riboswitch aptamer (RFN element)". From Rfam's summary of the family: The RFN element is a highly conserved domain that is found frequently in the 5'-untranslated regions of prokaryotic mRNAs that encode for flavin mononucleotide (FMN) biosynthesis and transport proteins. This element is a metabolite-dependent riboswitch that directly binds FMN in the absence of proteins. The record is from RNAcentral.
UGUCUUCAGGGCGGGGUGAAAUUCCCCACCGGCGGUAUGGUGUCAUUUUUGAGCACUAAAGCCCGCUAACUGUGUGUUACACAGCCGAUUUGGUGAGAUUCCAAAGCCGACGGUACAGUCCGGAUGAAAGAAGAU